GUGAAGACCUCGGCAUACUUCUCAGUAACACGUGGAUAAUCUGCCCUCAGAUGAAGAAUAAUCCCGGGAAACUGGGGCUAAUGCUUCAUAGGAGACGGGUGCUGGAAUGCUCUGUCUCUGAAAGGUCCGCCGUCUGAGGAUGAGUCUGCGUCCGAUUAGGUUGUUGUUGGGGUAACGGCCCACCAAGCCUUUGAUCGGUACGGGUUGUGGGAGCAAGAGCCCGGAGAUGGAUUCUGAGACAUGAAUCCAGGCCCUACGGGGCGCAGCAGGCGCGAAAACUUUACAAUGCGAGCAAUCGUGAUAAGGAAACCCUGAGUGCCUGUUAUCGCAGGCUGUUCUGGUGUCUAACACACACCAGGAGAAAGGGCGGGGCAAAGACCGGUGCCAGCCGCCGCGGUAAUACCGGCUGCUCGAGUGAUAGCCACUUUUACUGGGCUUAAAGCGUUCGUAGCUUGGUCG
This 459-nucleotide ribosomal RNA is filed under the name uncultured archaeon. Its description in RNAcentral is "bacterial SSU rRNA". It matches the Rfam family "Archaeal small subunit ribosomal RNA", at positions 69 to 532 of the family's 1478-position model. The record is from RNAcentral.